CCAGCAGCCGCGGUAAUACGUAGGGUGCGAGCGUUAAUCGGAAUUACUGGGCGUAAAGCGUGCGCAGGCGGUUUUGUAAGCCAGAUGUGAAAUCCCCGGGCUUAACCUGGGAAUGGCAUUUGGGACUGCAAGGCUGGAGUGCGGCAGAGGGGACUGGAAUUCCUGGUGUAGCAGUGAAAUGCGUAGAGAUGUGGAGGAACACCGAUGGCGAAGGCAGCCUCCUGGGCCAGCACUGACGCUCAUGCACGAAAGCGUGGGGAGCAAACAGGAUUAGAUACCCUGGUA
Molecule: ribosomal RNA, 285 nt
Filed under: uncultured beta proteobacterium
Lineage: Bacteria; Pseudomonadati; Pseudomonadota; Betaproteobacteria
Description: partial 16S ribosomal RNA
Rfam family: Bacterial small subunit ribosomal RNA
Source: RNAcentral